UCCGGCUUCCCGCCGGCAGUCUCCCGAGAGUCCCCGACUUUACGGGUCGGUAACCCUUUCAGGCACCUACUUCCAGGAUGUCAAACCCAGGUAAGGUUCUUCGCUUUGCAUCGAAUUAAGCAACGCGCUCCGCCGCUUGUGCGGGCCCCCGUCAAUUCCUUUGAGUUUUAGCCUUGCGGCCGUACUCCCCAGGCGGCGAACUUAAUGCGUUAGCUGCGGCACGGAGGGCAUGACACCCCCCACACCUAGUUCGCACCGUUUACGGCCAGGACUAC
This 275-nucleotide unclassified non-coding RNA is filed under the name uncultured Actinomycetes bacterium. RNAcentral describes it as "uncultured actinobacterium contains 16S-23S intergenic spacer region". Lineage: Bacteria; Bacillati; Actinomycetota; Actinomycetes. The record is from RNAcentral.